GACCCCCCAAUAUCAGUGGGGGAGAUUACAGACUUGGGCUCAGAAAAAAGGUAGUAGGAUGGAAAACUCCAAGAGAUAAGAAUGUAGGAAUAGUAGUGAUGUACUACAAUGGGAAGUGUCUAGUUCUACUAGUUGAAUUCCAACUAUUUUUAUUUUUUCCGUCUGUUCAAGACUUAACUUCCAGGGACAAUGUGUCCCAGAAGCUUGGGUUAGAGCAUAUCUGCCCUUUAUAUAGAGAAGAACAGAGCACUGUAUUAUAGUCUUCGUUGGCUUGGGCCACUAUAAUAGAACAUCACAGGCUGGCUUCUUAAAUAACAAAAAUGUAUUUCCUCAUGGCUCCGGAGCCUGGAAGCCUGAGAUCAAGAUGCCAGCAUGGCUGUGUUCUGGUGCAGCGCCUCUAACUGGUUUGCAGAACGCCACCCUCUUGAUCCCCCAGAGGAGUCCUGGCAUUUAAGCACUUAGAGGAAAAUAUCUUUUGCUGUUCAGAAGGUGUUCCUGAGCAACUGGCAGCCACUGAACACCACCAGGAAGAUCCGAUGACUCCGAUAUUAUGCUCAGCAGAUGGG
Molecule: long non-coding RNA, 566 nt
Organism: Hyaena hyaena (striped hyena)
Lineage: Eukaryota; Metazoa; Chordata; Mammalia; Carnivora; Hyaenidae
Exons: 2
Source: RefSeq, a predicted model, not a curated record